ACGCUCGACACCUACGGGAGGCAGCAGUCGGGAAUAUUGCGCAAUGGAGGAAACUCUGACGCAGUGACGCCGCGUAUGGGAAGAAGGUUUUCGGAUUGUAAACCAUUUUAGACAAGGAAGAAACAAGACAGUACUUGUAGAAUAAGCUCCGGCUAACUACGUGCCACAGCCGCGGUAAUCUGAGCGGGCUGGCAAGGC
This 198-nucleotide ribosomal RNA is filed under the name uncultured bacterium. Its description in RNAcentral is "partial 16S ribosomal RNA". It matches the Rfam family "Bacterial small subunit ribosomal RNA", at positions 328 to 539 of the family's 1533-position model. The record is from RNAcentral.